This 468-nucleotide ribosomal RNA is filed under the name uncultured bacterium. Its description in RNAcentral is "partial 16S ribosomal RNA". It matches the Rfam family "Bacterial small subunit ribosomal RNA", at positions 28 to 507 of the family's 1533-position model. The record is from RNAcentral.
GACGAACGCUGGCGGCGUGCUUAACACAUGCAAGUCGAACGGAAAGGCCCUGCUUUUGUGGGGUGCUCGAGUGGCGAACGGGUGAGUAACACGAGAGUAACCUGCCCUUGACUCUGGGAUAACUUCAGGAAACUGGGGCUAAUACCGGAUAGGAGCUCCUGCUGCAUGGAGGGGGCUGGAAAGUUUCGGCGGUCGGGGAUGGACUCGCGGCUUAUCAGCUUGUCGGUGGGGUAGUGGCUUACCAAGGCUUUGACGGGUAGCCGGCCUGAGAGGGUGGCCGGCCUCAUUGGGACCGAGAUACUGCCCUCACUCCUCCGGGAGGCAUCAGUGGAGACUGUUGCACAAUGCACGGAAGCCAGCUGCAGCAACUCCCCCUGCGGGAUGGCGGCCUUCGGGUUGUACACCGCUUUCGCCUGUGCCGAAGCGUGAGUGACGGUUAUGGGUAUAGAAGCACCGGCUAACUACGUG